UACAGAGGGUGCAAGCGUUAAUCGGAAUUACUGGGCGUAAAGAGCACGUAGGUGGUUUGGUAAGCCAGAUGUGAAAUCCCCGGGCUUAACCUGGGAACUGCAUUUGGGACUGUAAGGCUAGAGUGUGUCAGAGGGAGGUGGAAUUCCACGUGUAGCAGUGAAAUGCGUAGAUAUGUGGAGGAGCAUCGAUGGCGAAGGCAGCCUCCUGGGAUAACACUCACGCUCAUGCACGAAAGCGUGGGGAGCAAACAGG
This 253-nucleotide ribosomal RNA is filed under the name uncultured bacterium. RNAcentral's name for it is "partial 16S ribosomal RNA". It matches the Rfam family "Bacterial small subunit ribosomal RNA", at positions 524 to 776 of the family's 1533-position model. The record is from RNAcentral.